Molecule: long non-coding RNA, 6062 nt
Filed under: Sus scrofa (pig)
Lineage: Eukaryota; Metazoa; Chordata; Mammalia; Artiodactyla; Suidae
Description: lncRNA (ENSSSCG00000061722.1)
Source: RNAcentral
UUUCUAGGGCCACUUCCUGGCAGCAUACAGAGGUUCCCAGGCUAGGGGUUGAAUCGGAGCUGUAGCCGCAGGUCUACGCCACAGCCACGGCAACAUGGGAUCCGAGCCUCGUCUUUGACCUACACCACAGCUCACGGCAACGCCAGAUCCUUAACCCACUGAGCAAGGGCAGGGAUCGAACCCACAACCUCAUGGUUCCUAGUCGGAUUCGUUAACCACUGCGCCACGAUGGGAAGUCCUUAUUCCAUUUUGUAGGUGGGGAAUAGACUCAAACUUAAUUGCUCAAAUUCACCUAUACUUGGUAAGGACCAGACUCAGGAUUUGAAACAACAGCAUUAAGGACUUUAAAGUUCUGAGUGGAAUUCUGAAAAGGGAGGCUGUAAAGGUGCAGGUAGCCCAGAGCCCGAGUCUUACCAGGGGUCAGGGGCACCCAUUGGUCUUCUAGCCCAUUGCUUUUUUCUGCAACAAGUGAAUGCCUCUCUCUUUAAUUUUCAGAGUGUUGAACAAAAUUAUUCCUUUUUAUAUCCUGGAAGAAAAUAGGUGAGGAUUUACCAAUAAAGAAACUUGUAGAAAUUUCCUACUGUCAAAGAUGCAGACAUUUAAAAUUUACAGAAGGGUGACCUAAAUUACUUGAGCAUCUGAGAACUUUCUUUUCACUUCAGAUGGAACACUUGAUAAUUAUAUGUUUUUGAAGAAAAUAAUUUGGUUUAUAACCUCAGAAAUGUGUCUGAAGGUUAAGGAUUUUCCUUGUUUUGGAAUUGUGAUAUGUCAUUUAUAUGAAGGUAGUAAGAAUAGUUUCAAUGACAAAGAUGAGAAUCUGAGACAACUUAGAAAAAUUUAUAUAAAAGUUUAAAUUGCAUAAAACAAUAUUAUUUUGGUGAUAGACAGUUGUACUCUUUUUCUGGUUCUUUCCUCUCAAUUUGAUUCAUUAGAUUUUUUUAAAGCUCUUUUUUCAAUACUUUUCAUUCGUUUUUCUCCUUCCUUGAUUUUUUUCUGCUUCUUGUUUCUGAGUUAUGUUUUUGUUACAUCUCAGCACAUGGCAUGAUGUUUACAUCAAAUCCUCCAAACAUAUUUUAGAGAUUGUUAAUUGUGCUCUUAGUAAUGACGACUGUAGCAAGAACACGUACUCCUCAUAUAACCAGUUUACUCCUGUAAUUGGAAUAAAUUCUAUCAUGAAGUGUUUUCUAUUGAGAACAAUACAACUUUUAAACCCUCAAGAGCCCAUUUACUAGAGCUGUAAAUAAUAGAAUUUUAGAGUAAUAGAAUAUUAGCCAUGGAAGAGGAGUAAUUUUGCAUGGGAGAAAACAAAAGCCCAAGGAUCUUUGUGCAAAUUAGUUUCUUUCAUCAGCCAGUAAUCUGAGUUGUAAAACCUAAAGUAAAUGAUGUUUUUUCUUUCUUUCUUUCUUUUUUUUUGGCUGUGCCCACAGCAUGUGUAUGUUUCCAGGCCACGGAUAAACCCUUGCCACAGCAGAGACAACACAAGAUCUUGAGUGCUAGGUGUGCAUUAUAAUGCAUGCAAAGUUGGGAAUGCCUUUUAGACCCUCUUGUCCUUUAGUUUAUAAACAUGGAAUCACUAGUAAAGAAAGAAGAACAAAUUAAGCGUACAGCAUGUUUCUUCCAGGUACUUGGGCUCUUUGGCAUGAAGCCAGAUUACAAGUCAGCAGAAUUGUCUUAGAAAUGCCCUCAAAGUCAGUGAUAUUUUAUUCCUUGUUGCCUCUAGAGUGGACAUAAAUAAAAAGCAUAGAUCUUCGUUUUCCCUGCUAGAAUGUCCUUUAAAAGGUGAAUGAAAUCUUUGGCUCUUUUUGACUGUCUCUGUGUUGAAGAACAAGAAAACCAAGUCCAACCCCACCCACAUCCAUUGUCUUUGACAUGGUUAUAGGUUUCUGAUGAGGACAAGUCCACAAAGCAAAUUCAGAUCUAGGAUCUGACAGAGAAAAGAUUUAGUUCAAAGUGAGUUAUGAUUACUUCAAUAGAAAUAUAUUUUGAAAUGUGAUUUCUGAAAUGUGUCAUUUUAUGAUAUGCAAGUCUAGAAGGAAAUAUUAUUCUCCUUCCCCCAAAUAAGGUCAUAUUUCUUUUUUUUUAAAUUACAAAAAUAAUAGGUUGAUGCAGAAAAUCCAAGCAGAGUAUGUAGGGUAUUAAAAAAAUACUUAAAUGUAUUUAAAAAUAAAGUCAUCCUAAUACCCGAGAAAUAUUAACAUUUUGCUAAACAUUCCUCUUGUCAUCCCUCUAUGUAUUUAUUUGGCCCAUCUCUGUUGGUAUGUGUGUAUUUAUAUAAAUGACAUAAUAUUUUUUGUACUUUGUUUUUUACUCAACAAUCUGUUAUGGAGAUUUUCUUUCCUUUAAUAAGUAUCAAAAUUCCUUUUAACAGCUACAGAGCUGCCCAUUGUGUGGAUCUACCAGAAUUUAACUAAUCCCCAAGUAAUGGACAUUAGAUUGUUUCCAAUUUAUGAUUAUAAUAAGCAAGGGCUGAGUUAACAUUCAUAUUCAUGUAUCUUUAUCUGUAUCUGAAGAACUGGCCAGUAAAGUAGAUAAGUUCCUAAAAGUCUGCUCCAUGUCACUUGUUUGCUUUCCCAAAACUUUUCCUUCUAAAUUUUACCCAUUUUCAUUGCUACCAACAGCAUCAGAAACUAUGGAAGCGGAUCUUUCAGUUCAGUAACUUGAAAGUCUUUGAAUAUGCAGUAUUAAUAUACAUGAAUUUGGCAAAGGGUGUGAAAUGUUCUCACUGAAUAGACUGAAACAGAUGUGAUAUUAAUGAUUAGCAGGCAAAACAAGUCUUUCCAACUGUUUGCCAAGCUGUCAGAAAAAAUUUUCUUCUUCCUCCACACUGUUACAUGCAAUACUUUGUAUACACCUCUAUUGCAACAUAUCAUUUUGCCUUCUAUCUUAGGUGUUUUUCUAAUUAAAAUGUGAGCUCCUUGAAGGCAGGCUCUGUUUUGUAAGGGUGCUAGGAUCUGAUAAACUGUGUCUGUCCCUCAGUAAACUCUGUGGAUGGAUAAACAAGCACAACAUUUUCUAUUUGCUUCUUUCUCAUUUGGCGGCUUCCAUCUCCCUCUUUUCUUUUGGCUUUUGAAAGAGAAGAGUAAUAUUUGCCCAGGGCAAACAGACUUGGAGUUUGGGAGGCAGCAUUGUGUAAUCGAUGUUAAAUCAGCCUCCUUUAACUUUUGGCUUUCUGAUUUGUAGCUCUAUAACCCUGGGCAAAUUGUGAAACUCCUCUAAAUCCUAAUUUCCUUCUCUGUAAAAUGAAGAUAAUAGGUUCAACUUCAAAAAGUAGAGAUUAAAGGAGAUCAUGUUUUAAAACCUCUAGGAUGGUGCCUGGUGUAACACUUGGUAAAUAGUAGCUGUAAUUAUUAUUUCCUCAAAGGAACAGAUAUACUAAAACAAAACAAAACAAAACAAAAACCCUAUCUGUCAAACAAAAUAAGAUGUCAUUGGCUAUUUCGCCUUCCCCUCUAGUGGGCACACCAACUUCUAAACUGGAGGCAACCAGAAGCUAAACAUUAAUAGAGAUUAGGUCUGAGACUCUUAGCAAAAUCAGUCUGUCACAUGUCUGUAGAUAAAAAUUGGGGGUUUUAUUUUCAAAACUGAAAGAGGUGCUCAGAGUAUUGAAAUAAGAGAAGAAUAGGAUUGGGCCAUGUAGGAAUAACCAGAGAGUAUUUUAUUAGGUCUCUUGCCUAAAGUACCACAUUAUCCAACUACUGGGAAUUUUUUUUUUUUUUUAAUGUUAGAGUUGAACUAUCGUGAUCUUUGUUCUUUCCUAACCAGCAAAUGACCUGUUGUAAUGACAACCUUUGGUUUUCAGCAGGCUUGCCUAGUUACUAUACUUGAGCAUAUAUGCCUGAGCUAAUUUUCCAUUUAACUGCUGAGGCUUUAAAAUGUGGAAACGCCUCGUGGGCCUCUUCAUUAAAGUGUUGGCCUGGUUUCUGCUGCUGGAGACAGCUGAGAAAAAUUCAGCAUGUGUCAUAUUUUCAAGACUUUCUUCCCUCCACCUAAAUUUCUUGUAUAUUAAGAUGGGUGUAAACAAUGAGUGCUCUUCUAUAAAUCAGUGGCAACAAAGAUGGCAACAUCUUCUGCACAUAGUGAGUGUUGCAAUUUUGGGUCAGAGACAACUCCCUUUGAAAAGGCAGAAUUAAAAAAAAAAAAAAAAAGAUGAGCAAAAUAUAUACUUCAGGAGACCAAAUGGAAUAUCCUCUUCUGUGGAUGCAGAGAUACACUCUCCCUCUUCCCCUAAGGAAGCCAGAUCCUGCAUCAUUUUUUUCUGCUCACGACUCAGCAGAAACACAAUGCUUCAUUUUAUAGAGGCUGAUUACAACACAAUGACAGCACUAUAAUUUCCUUCAGGGUGAAAUACUUCACUUGGCUUUAGGCCAGCUGAGCUCAGUGUCACUUAGCACUUCUGCAACUUCUGACACAGGCAAAUACCUUCACGUGGGUGCAUGCUGUAUUCCUUUAGGAAGCAUUUUUUAAAACAUUGUCACAGCAACUCAUUCGAAUCAGCAGUUGGGGUUUUGCACGUGACCAGAUUUCUUUUCCCUGAUGCGGACAUUGGAAUAGCCCAUAAACCACUGAAAGUGACUGUGCCACCCACUUCUUCUGAGGCCAAAGCGGUCAUGAAAUGAGUUUGGUGUGCAGAGGACCUUUUGGUUCUUUCGUCAGAGGAAACCUAUAAUUGUAAAAUUCCUCCUUGGUUCCAUCGUUCACAUAGACCUAAGGAGUGUUCCCUUGUCUUUUUCUGAUUAUGUGGGAUGUGGUCAGUCUUGAUGUUGUGUUGAAGAAGUUAUAGACAGUUAAGUAAACAUCUUAAGGAAAAAGCUAAGAUCUAAAGCUAGGAACACUUCACAUAUUUGUCUAUUAAGAAAAAAAAGAUACUCCCCCCCUCCCCCGACAAAAAAAAGCCUCUUUCCUACCCCACCCCCAACACCUGUCUCCUUGUUAUCACUGUGACUUUGCCCCAGGACACUGUCUCUACAUAAAAGUUGGGUAAUUCUUACUUCCUGAACGGGACCUACCUAACUGCUGGCACGUAAUAGUCAUCUCCCACAUGGACAGGCCCAGUGGCUGCUGUGUGACGGGAGGGGACAUAUGAGAAGGGUGAGGGAAGGACAGCUGUGGAGCAGGUCUUUGAUCCAACAGCAAAGCUAAGACCAGCCAAUUAGACAUCACAUUCUCCUUUGGCAAUCUGACCUGACAAGCGUGCCACAACUACUUCCAAAGACUUCCCUCUUUUUGGCUUAGAUUGGGGGUGGGAUGAGGAUAGAAAAUGAGAAGUCCAAAGGGGAAAAUGACGUAUUUGUUUCUUCACCUAUUUAUUGACUCCAAACAACAAACACUUACUACAUGGUCUUUAGGGGAUCAGGUGCUGUGCUCAGUGUUUCACAUGCAAUUUCUCUUAAUUCUCACAAUCCCAUCAAGGAGAUGAGUUUCAAUCUUCAUUUAGCAAUGGAGAAAACUAAGCCUUUGGAGAGGUUGAGAAACUUGCCCAAGGUCACACAGAUAAGAAGCAAAGCUGGGACAGUAUCCUGCUCUGGGGACAAGCCUGUGCUCUUCACCACUGUGCUACACUGCCUCCCUGUGUUAGAACAUCUUUAAUCUUUUCUCCCCAGGAUGGAGGAAGCUAAGCAGAAAAGAAACCUGUUAAUUGGUAGAUGUUUGGAAGGAUGAUUUCUUUGUCAUUAUAUUGAUGCUAUAGUAUUUAUAGUAGAGUAUGUCGAAUUGUUACGUUUAUAUGAAACAGCGAGGAAACUUAAAGAGGCUUGAACAAAGUAAUUCAAGCUGUUUGAUUCUAACAUGUGAUUAUAAUGAUCUCUUUCUGUUGGCCUCUGUCUGUCUGGCUUUCUGAAGUGAUCUUUUGUUUUGCAGGAACAGUUGUUACUGAGCAAUACCAGCUGCAAGGGAACAAUUCCUGACAUUACCUCCUCCCUGCUCUCCUCUUUCUUCCCUCCCCACAACCUCCGGUCCUGGCAAGUGCUAUUAUUUUGAAUGGAUAUGAUUGGCAGGGACGGGAAGCUCUCACAUUUAUUUCUGUGAUACAACUUAUUGAAGCAAAAGCUUACUCCAAAAGAGGC